Molecule: RNA transcript, 3450 nt
Organism: Manis javanica (Malayan pangolin)
Lineage: Eukaryota; Metazoa; Chordata; Mammalia; Pholidota; Manidae
Source: RefSeq, a predicted model, not a curated record
UUUUAUUAUAGUACAUUUUUAUGAACAUCCUGUUUUACUAUUGUUGUCUUGUCUAAUUUACAAAUUCAACUUUAUCAUAGGUAUAUAUGUAUACGAAAAAAACAGCAUAUACAGCGCUCAGACUAUGCCGGUUUCAGGCAUUCACGGGAGCAGGAUCUUGGAACAUAUCCUCCCCCCCACCCCGCCCCUCUCAUGGAGGGACUACUAUAGUUUGAUCAAGGAAACUUUACAGGUGACCCCAACACUCUGGUUAGCGUAAGGCAAAAAAACAGCAAGAAAACAAACAAAAAAACAAAGACUAAACGUCUUAGGAAUACAUUACAAAUGUAGAUAAUUGUCUAUAAACCAUAAAAACGACUUACAAAUGUUAAAAUUAUUUUUUCCAAAGGUAACUUUAAUUUCAAAACCACUGUUAGGUGGAGUCAUCUGUUACUGCUAGUUAGAGGAAGAUAAAUCUAAAGCACUUGGCCAAAAUAGUUGGUAGGACUCCAACACUUCCCAGUAUACACAACUCCCUUUUACCCUCCUCCCGUCUUAGCAUCUGCGGCGCCCCGAGCUAAAGACAAUUUUGAGUACUGCCCAGCUGCCAGUGCUCCUUUUAAAUACGAUUUUUGCUGAAAACUGAAGAAUGAACUCUACACAGUACUGAAAGCAGGGCGGUGAGUGAAAUCCCCUAGACAGCAUGCAGCGUUUCAAAGAAGCCACAAAAACCCGGGCCAGCAAUCGAUUUCGCCUGGGUUCUUUUUGUUUUGUUUCAAUACGCCUGGGGCAGCAGCAUAGAGGUUCGAAGGCGGAGACUGGAAUUGCCUGCCAAGCCCCGGCGCUCGGUCACAGGGAGGCAGCGUCUCCAGGUUCACACCAGGUCCAUCCCCCAUCCUCUUUCGCCAUUUAUCGUUUUCCCCUCCCCUCCCCCCAUCAUGUGACCGCAGCCUGGACUCCAGGCUUGUUUUUCCCCUCGGCUCAGCUCCACCGCGCAGGCGCCUCGGAGUCCAUUCAUUCGAAAUGCGUAACAAUGAGCCCCGGGGCCGAGCGACUCCGCGAGCUUCCCAGCUCGGCCGGAGCCGCUCGCGGCCCCGAAGGAGGCGGUGCCUCACUGGGGUCGCGGACUCGCGGCCGGCGCCCAGCCCGGGCCGAUCUCCCACCCUCCGCCCACUCGCGGGGAGGCGAAGUAAAACUUUCCAGGGCAGCCCCUGCGCCGCGUCUGCCCCUUCCCCGCCCUGGCCCUCCCCGUGUCCGCACUCGGCUCGGCCACCCACUGCGCAGAACGGCCCCAAGCGCCCCGCACGCCGGCUCCUCCCAACCUCCGCCCCCGAGACCCCUGGGGCCGCGCCGCCGCGCAGCCAGAGUGAACUCUUCGGAUUGGAUUACUGCCGAGACUCCGGGGACUCAAGCCUAACUUUGCCUCCGAAAUGGAUUGUGGGAGCAGCAUCCCCAGCCCCUCUCGCAGCACCCAUUCCGGGCCAUGAACAGCCAAAGUCGCUCGUUGCUCCCGGUUUGGCUGGCGGCCAAGAAAUUCUGCCUGAAGUUGCUAAUGCUUUGACUCAUCAGAAGAGGAUGGCUUCUCUGGCUUUACACUUCCCUUCACUUUAAACAUGGCUGUCCGUCACAGUCGUCUAGUCUGUAAUUGAUGCUUUUACCAUUCACAUUACAAAGGAUCUAGGUAGGUUUCCAAUUAGGACAAAGAUGGAAAGUCAGCAAUUUGAAGCAACUUUAUCCAAGAUUUUGACUGGUCAUAUUUAUGACUCAUAAACUUAUCCAAGAGUUCUGCUUUGUAAACUUUUUUUUCAGGUUAAAGAGAAAACAUUGAGGGUUUCACUUCUGGGUUGUUGCAGUCAAGGGUUAAGGCUGCUUUUGUCAUUCCAGAGUCCAUUUCCAGCUCACACCUACUUUCCCUUCCACCUAGAAAAAUGACUCAUUCUCUGUUCUUCUAAUUGACAGUAAACAAUGCAUUUACUUACUAUAACGACUCGGUUAUAAUUGGUACUAAUGAAACGUUUGGUGUAUAUACAUUUUGCAGAGCAUUUUUUGUUUUCUUUUCUUUGGUUUUUGAGGGAGGAAAUGGCAAGACUCAGGCAGGCUGUGGUUAAAUCAGAAUCGGGGAAACCCACGUACGUAAGUUGCAUUUCAUUUUUAUGGUGCAAGUAUUUCCCUAUCAAACAUCAUCACGCCUUCCCACAUAUAAAUGUCACCUGCCUCCUCAGGAUUUCCUAGGCAAUUUUAGAUUACACACUUCAAGCAUAAAAGGGACGGAAAGCCUACAUCUGUUGGUCAAAUAGUUUUCCUCUCAAAAUAGUCUAUCUGCAUUGGGAAGUUUCUACAAAUUUCACUGUAUACUAGGCUCAAUACAGAAAAAUCUGUGAGACCAAGAAUUGCAUAAGGAACAAAAAGCUCUCAACUGCCUGGGAGUUCUGCCCUGGACUCAGAUCAAUGAUUUGGUGAAGUCAAUUGAUUAUUCUCAGUUACAGAAACUGAACUGACUUAAGCACACAGUUAUUAUUGGCAUGUAAGUCUGCAAAUACCUGGUAUGUUUUAUUGCUUCUAUUUCCACAAUACAUUACACUAUGAAGGGUUUUUUAAGUACUUGUGAGGUCUAACAGCUAUAUAGACUUGCUCAACCAGUUUUGCUGCCCAGAACAGGUAAGGUCAUAUCUUACUCUAGUUGCUUUUUGUCAAGAUUCUUUCAGACAUUCAACAUCAGGCUGUACCCCACACUUUCAGUGUUAGAAGCCAGCGUUCCAACUCCCUUUCUCCCUUCUGCUUUAAUAAUUCUGUUUCUCCCUUAGGUAUUGACAUUUGAUCUAGAUAGAGUCCCUUCAGUUACUUAACAAAGCCUUGGCUUAUCCAGAUGUGUUACUUACCUUUAUGCCUACACAUUAUUUUAAGAAUGCCAAAGGUCAUCUAAUCUUCGUUAUAACAUUUGAGAAAAUUAGGAAAAAUUACAUCCAUAUUUUAAAGAUGAUUUGGAAAGGAAAAGCACUCAGCACUUAAUCUUACCUAUGUCAAAGUCCAAAGUCCCUGGCUUUACACCCUAAGUUUCACUUGCAGCAUUUUAAAGCAUUUUAAAUAGCCAGUUUGUGACAGUAAACCGGAUACAUUCAGCCAAGUGUGUCACAGGUAAGAUAAUAUACACAAGCCCUAGUUCAUAUUGAUGCACAGGAACCACCACCACCACCAGAGAGAAAUAAGGGGAAGCACCUUUGUGUUAAAAGGAUUCCCAAAAGAAUUCUUAGCCACAUUUAGUGCACCCUUGAAUGAAAUUGGAGAAUUUUCAAAUAGUAAGUACUCUAGCUAGUGACUAAAUAUUGGCGUCUAGAUACUUUAACACAUAAACUCCCUGAUUAGCCACACGUAAUGUGGUUAUUCUAAGUGGCCAGAUGAGUCCGCAACAUACCACAGUUAUAUCACACAUGCCUGAAGGUUAAACUUGUUAACAGUGUCUGCCAGCAGCCC